GGGGAUAUAGCUCAGAGGCAGAGCAGUGUCUUUGCACGGCAAAUGUCAGUGGUUCGAAUCCACUUAUCUCCA
This 72-nucleotide transfer RNA is filed under the name Nitzschia sp. NIES-3576. RNAcentral's name for it is "tRNA-Ala". It matches the Rfam family "tRNA". From Rfam's summary of the family: Transfer RNA (tRNA) molecules are approximately 80 nucleotides in length. Their secondary structure includes four short double-helical elements and three loops (D, anti-codon, and T loops). Further hydrogen bonds mediate the characteristic L-shaped molecular structure. tRNAs have two regions of fundamental functional importance: the anti-codon, which is responsible for specific mRNA codon recognition, and the 3' end, to which the tRNAs corresponding amino acid is attached (by aminoacyl-tRNA synthetases). tRNAs cope with the degeneracy of the genetic code in two manners: having more than one tRNA (with a specific anti-codon) for a particular amino acid; and 'wobble' base-pairing, i.e. permitting non-standard base-pairing at the 3rd anti-codon position. The record is from RNAcentral. Lineage: Eukaryota; Bacillariophyta; Bacillariophyceae; Bacillariales; Bacillariaceae.